UAGGGAAUUUUCGGCAAUGGGCGCAAGCCUGACCGAGCAACGCCGCGUGAGGGAAGAAGGUCUUCGGAUCGUAAACCUUUGUCUUUGGGGAAGAGAGAGGACGGUACCCAAGGAGGAAGCCACGGCUAACUACGUGCCAGCAGCCGCGGUAAUACGUAGGUGGCAAGCGUUGUCCGGAAUUACUGGGCGUAAAGGGCGUGUAGGCGGCCUUUUAAGUCAGGCGUGAAAACUCCAAGCUUAACUUGGAGACUGCGUUUGAGACUGAGAGGCUUGAGGAUCGGAGAGGGCAGUGGAAUUCCCAGCGUAGCGGUGAAAUGCGUAGAUAUUGGGAAGAACACCAGUGGCGAAGGCGGCUGCCUGGACGACACCUGACGCUGAGGCGCGAAAGCCAGGGGAGCAAACGGGAUUAGAUACCCCGGUAGUCCUGGCUGUAAACGAUGGGUACUAGGUGUGGGAGGUAUCGACCCCUUCCGUGCCGGAGUUAACACAAUAAGUACCCCGCCUGGGGAGUACGGCCGCAAGGUUGAAACUCAAAGG
This 537-nucleotide ribosomal RNA is filed under the name uncultured Bacillota bacterium. RNAcentral describes it as "bacterial SSU rRNA". It matches the Rfam family "Bacterial small subunit ribosomal RNA", at positions 355 to 907 of the family's 1533-position model. The record is from RNAcentral. Lineage: Bacteria; Bacillati; Bacillota.